CCCAAGAGCUCCAGCCUCCUUUAGCAUCCUUCUCGACCUUAGGCAUCCUCCGGGUUGACUUCCAUCAUCCUUGCCAUCUUCCCGCACUCCUCAGGCCAACCUAGGUUAGUCCCAAAACUCCUUGCCAUUUUUCUGUUCUUUCUUCUUCGUAUACUGUUCGUUUAGCUUCCUCGAGAGCUUGUUUGCUAUUUUUUUAAUUUUUUUUCGAGAUUUUUGUGU
RNAcentral lists this long non-coding RNA (219 nucleotides) under Elaeis guineensis (African oil palm). RNAcentral's name for it is "long non-coding RNA (EGUI_LNC060135)". The record is from RNAcentral. Lineage: Eukaryota; Viridiplantae; Streptophyta; Magnoliopsida; Arecales; Arecaceae.